AGUGUAGGGAUUGUUUUACAUUUAUUACAUUGUGAUAAUAUCUAUUCUUGCUUUUCAGCCUAAUUAAAUGCAGCCUCAUGUGCAGAAGGCAAAUAAGUCAGUUGUAAGAAAAGAUGAAAUGAGAAGUUGGCCCAAGAGCACACAAAGGCAUCAGCAAGUGUGAAUAUACUGCCCAGAAUGGCUCCCAUGAAAGUCAAGAAAUGGUCUCCAGGCACUAGUGCCCUGAUGCCUCACCAAAAGCUACUGAUUUUAAAAGCAUUUACCACGGAUAUUUUUAAGAAAAACAAUGUAAUGUAUUACCACAGCCUACUUCCCCACCCCAAAUAGGUGAGUAAGACUUCUUUCUUUGUACUUCCAUGUACCCAGUGGUAGCCAGCCUCCAAGAGGGGCCUCCUGGUAAUGAUCUUCUAAGCAACAGCCAGUGAGGAACUAAAGCCUCUUGCCAAUAACCAUGAGUGAGCUUGGAAGUCUCAGUCAAGUUUUCAGAGACUGUAGCCAUGGUUGGCAUCUUGAUGACAACUUCAUGAGAGACCCUGAGACAAAUCAGCAUGGUGUCAUGUGCUUCCAUUUCUGUUAAUCAUUCUAUCAAACUUCUAGUCCCUUAGUUUCAAAAUGAUAGAGUCAACUUUGUUCCACUUCCUCAUGCCCAUGUCGGUCAUAAGGUACAGCUUUCUACUGUCUCUUCCUUUGUAUACUUGUGGCCCCUACUCUAGCUGAGCUCUUAAUACCUAUUAGUCUACUACAGUUAAUCCCCAGCUCCCCUCCCUUCCCCUCAUGACCCUUCAUUAUCCUUUUAUACCGAUUUAUUCUGCACCCAAACCCCAGAUUAGUCAUAUUUACUUUAGCUAGUUCAACAUCUAAGGCCAUGCAUGCUCUUGCCCCAGCUAAAUCUUCCAGAUUUGACAAUGAAAGAGCUAGCUUUGGGAGCCCUUACUCAUGCCUAUUCAUUGGCUCUUGCCUGCCCCUUCCACUGCUGCCAUGCCACCUCAAAUAUAAUAUAUUGAGUUAAAAUGGAGUGCUCACUAUGUAAGUGAGACAUCAAGAAGAAAUCCUUAGCAACUACUUCACCAGAUUUCCACCCAAGAUUUUCCUUUGUGUAGAAAUUCUAUAGCUACCCAUUUUUUCCCCAUUACUUCUUAUAUACUGUUUCAAGUAAUCUGGACUGUAGGGUACAAUGGAUUGAGUUCCUUUUUUCCUCAUACCUAGAAUCAUUUUCUCACAUUGAUUCCACAUGCAGUGCUGUGGUUAAGAGCGUGGGUGUGCUAUUCACACUACCUGGGAUCAAAGACCUGCUCUACCAUGUACUUAUUUUGUGGCCUUGGGCAAGUUAAUUAACACCUCUGCACCUCUGUUUCCUCAUUUGUAAAAAAAAAAAAAAGCAUAAUAAAAAAUCUAACUUAUACA
This 1404-nucleotide long non-coding RNA is filed under the name Felis catus (domestic cat). RNAcentral describes it as "lncRNA (ENSFCAG00000047050.1)". Lineage: Eukaryota; Metazoa; Chordata; Mammalia; Carnivora; Felidae. The record is from RNAcentral.